GCAAGUGUAACUCAAACAUCCGAAUUCCAUCCGGAAAACAAGACAGGUUUCUCCGACCUGACCUCCUCAACUCCGUAUUCUCAAACUCUCUCCCUUUGUCUUUCUGUCGUUCUUCGGCCAUGGAGCUCUCUCUGUCUUCCGCAACCUCGAGAGCUCACACGUAUAAUUCCUCACCAGAGCUGUUUCUGCUUGAAAAAGCAAAAUUUCCGACAUGGGAUUGUUAUUUUCCCUCUCCUUCGCGAGCUAGGAGAAUAGCGAAGCCUUUAUUUGCUCAACCUGGAGCCCUCUCUGCCAAGCAUAACCCUGUCAAGGUUGUAUGUUGUCUAAAGAGAGAAGCUACUGUGGUAGAGGGAAGGUCUAUGCAUGAAAUAUAUGAUGCUUUGGCCGCACGUCUUGUUCCCACAGCCGCAGCAAUAGGGAAUCCAAAGUUGAAGUAUAUUGUGGGUUUGGCUGGUUCUCCUGGAUCUGGGAAAAGCACUACUGCAUCUGAAGUUGUGCGACGUGUAAACAAGUUAUGGCCCCAGAAAGCUUCUGCAUUGGAUUCUCAAGUUACUCCUCCAGAAGUGGCUGCAGUUCUCCCCAUGGAUGGUUUCCAUCUUUAUCUUUCUCAGCUGGAUGCAAUGGAGAAUCCCGAGGAAGCUCAUGCAAGAAGAGGAGCUCCAUGGACCUUUAACCCUAAGCAACUACUCGAGUCUCUCAAGACUCUGAGAAGUGAGGGAUCAGUUUAUGCACCGUCAUUUGACCAUGGUGUUGGAGAUCCGGUAGAAGAUGAUAUUUUUGUGACCCUUCAGCAUAAAGUGGUCAUAGUAGAAGGAAAUUAUUUAUUGUUGGAUGAUGGGAUUUGGAAAGAAGUAUCAUCUAUGUUUGACGAGAAAUGGUUUCUUGAAGUUGAUAUUGACAAAGCUAUGGAACGAGUUCGAAACAGACAUAUCUUAACGGCAGGGAAGCCCCCAGAUGUUGCCAAAUGGCGGGUUGAGUACAAUGACCGGCCUAAUGCGGUGACAGUAAACAAAUCAAAGAGGAAUGCUGAUUUGAUAAUCAAGUCAAUCGACUACUGAAGCUUGAAGGUGAUCCCGUCCUGCUGGUUGCAUUGAACGAAGCUUUCGUUCUAUCUGUUUUGCAUCCCAUGUAUGCAAAUUGAAGGCCUAUCUUCAUUUUCCUUGGAAGAUAUGAACCGGGAAGUAAUUUAUGCACUCCAAAAUUUGCUUUCACUUAUGAGGGAGUUCGUGAAGGAGAUUUGGAUCUGGUGUUUACUUUCUUGGUUCGGAAUUUGGCUUCAUCUGAGGAUGUGACGGCGAUGGCAAUGUGGUCUUUGCUACUGGAGAUUAGGAUUCUUUAUUUUCUGUUUUCUAGUGCCUUCAGGCCUAAGCUUGCUUAUGUAGGCCUCCUGUUAUAUCUUGGGUUGUUGCUCUCAUUUUGCUUGGACCUUUACUUUCCUUGUAGUUGUUUACUCAAUCCUUUUUGGGCCUUGUACUAAUUCUUAUGUUAAUAAAAGUGGACUUUUUGAUAAAAAAAAAAAAAAAAUACACACUAAGGUCACUUUUACUUGU
RNA transcript from Pyrus x bretschneideri (Chinese white pear), 1550 nucleotides. It is a transcript of the gene named putative uridine kinase C227.14, with no coding region annotated. The transcript has 13 exons. The record is from RefSeq and is a predicted model, not a curated record. NCBI's taxonomy places the organism in Eukaryota, Viridiplantae, Streptophyta, Magnoliopsida, Rosales, Rosaceae.